Molecule: ribosomal RNA, 558 nt
Filed under: uncultured bacterium
Lineage: Bacteria
Description: bacterial SSU rRNA
Rfam family: Bacterial small subunit ribosomal RNA
Source: RNAcentral
CCUACGGGAGGCAGCAGUGGGGAAUAUUGGACAAUGGAGGCAACUCUGAUCCAGCAAUGCCGCGUGUGUGACGAAGGCCCUAGGGUUGUAAAGCACUUUCAACGGUGAAGAUGAUGACGGUAGCCGUAGAAGAAGCCCCGGCUAACUUCGUGCCAGCAGCCGCGGUAAUACGAAGGGGGCGAGCGUUAUUCGGAAUUAUUGGGCGUAAAGGGCUCGCAGGCUGCUUGAACAGUUAGACGUGAAAUCCCCGGGCUCAACCUGGGAACUGCGUUUAAUACUAGCAAGCUAGAGUAAUAGAGAGGAAAGUGGAACUCCCAGUGUAGAGGUGAAAUUCGUAGAUAUUGGGAAGAACACCAGUGGCGAAAGCGACUUUCUGGCUAUUUACUGACGCCGAGGAGCGAAAGCGUGGGGAGCAAACAGGAUUAGAUACCCUGGUAGUCCACGCCGUAAACGAUGUGUGCUAGAUGUUGGAAGGAUACCUUUCAGUGUCGCAGCUAACGCACUAAGCACACCGCCUGGGAAGUACGGUCGCAAGAUUAAAACUCAAAUGAAUUGACG